Molecule: ribosomal RNA, 253 nt
Filed under: uncultured bacterium
Lineage: Bacteria
Description: partial 16S ribosomal RNA
Rfam family: Bacterial small subunit ribosomal RNA
Source: RNAcentral
UACGAAGGGUGCGAGCGUUAAUCGGAAUGACUGGGCGUAAAGGGUGCGCAGGCGGAGUGUUAAGACGGAUGUGAAAUCCCUGGGCUUAACCUGGGAAUGGCAUACGUGACUGACACACUAGAGGAUGGCAGAGGGAGGCGGAAUUCCACGUGUAGCAGUGAAAUGCGUAGAUAUGUGGAGGAACACCGAUGGCGAAGGCAGCCUCCUGGGCCAAUCCUGACGCUCAGGCACGAAAGCGUGGGGAGCAAGCAGG